Molecule: ribosomal RNA, 420 nt
Filed under: uncultured bacterium
Lineage: Bacteria
Description: bacterial SSU rRNA
Rfam family: Bacterial small subunit ribosomal RNA
Source: RNAcentral
GGAAUAUUGCGCAAUGGGGGGAACCCUGACGCAGCGACGCCGCGUGAGUGAUGACGGCCUUUUUGGUUGUAAAGCUCUGUAAAGAGGGAAAAAUGUUGCAGUGAAGAGCUGCAAUUGAUGGUACCUCUAAAGUAAGGACCGGCUAAAUACGUGCCAGCAGCCGCGGUAAUACGUAUGGUCCUAGCGUUGUCCGGAAUGACUGGGCGUAAAGGGUGUGUAGGCGGAUGUAUGUGUCAGAUGUGAAAUACCUCGGCUUAACUGAGGCAUUGCGUUUGAAACUGUACAUCUUGAGCAUGUCAGGGGUAAGCGGAAUUCCCGGAGUAGCGGUGAAAUGCGUAGAUAUCGGGAAGAACACCGGUGGCGAAGGCGGCUUACUGGGGCAUAGCUGACGCUGAGGCACGAAAGCGUGGGGAGCGAACG